This is a long non-coding RNA of Stylophora pistillata, 1086 nucleotides long. NCBI's taxonomy places the organism in Eukaryota, Metazoa, Cnidaria, Anthozoa, Scleractinia, Pocilloporidae. The record is from RefSeq and is a predicted model, not a curated record.
ACUAAACAAACGAGUGACUGUGCGAUCGAAGGUUUAUUAGACAUUUCACCGAUCUUAAAGAGGUCAUCAGUAACAUCAACAAAUCAACAUGAACAACUUGAGCUUCAAGUUGACUUAAUUGAAAAACAUUACGCUCUGACGAAAAGACGGGAUCCACGACACCUUGUUUAAGUCUCCGCAAGCCCUGUUUAAGACAGAAGUGUUUAAUCUUUGAAAAACCUGCACAGACUCCGAGAGCAUCUGGAGGAACCUUAUUCAUUCAGUUACAUAUUUGGCGCCGCAGCGUGGAGCGAGAAACGUGCAAUCCUAGAGUGGAACUAAGUAAAGGACUCGAAUUAAAAGGAAAGUACGGUAUUGUUAUUCAAAUACAAGAGGUUCAUAAACACUAUUUGGCUUUCCAUUUCUAAACAAGUACUCAUCAUUUUAGGAUAGAGUUUUGUAAUAUAAUUAUGUCUGUGAGUUAUAUCGCAUUCAUUCAGUUUAUGUCAUAGCAUCUGGUCUUUUGUUACCGAGCCUACUUGCUCUUAGGCGUUUGACUGAUAAAAGUUCGCUGUGUUCAUGCUGUACGAAAAGCUGAAAUAUUGAGUGAAUCAGCUUAAAAAGUCAACUAAUUCAGUCACUUUUGUCCGACUUAGAUGAUACCAACAUAACUCCACUGAAAUAGUUGGAACAUUACAUUUUCAAUGUACAGACUAAUUUUAUUUCAAGUUGAUCAAAGAUAAAGAUUUAUCUCAUCAUUUUCUCAUUCAUGAUGUAUCAGUUUUGAAGCCUAUGGUUUGUUCCCAAGUGCUGAAUGACUGAUGUAUUACAUCUACCGCUGUAAGAAAAGUAAUAACAUUCUAUGAGGCGUUAUUGAUAAUUUAUAUUACAUUGCUCUCUUAUUGCUCUACCGCAAUAAGAACAGUAAUAACAUUCUAUGAGGCCUCGUUGAUCGUUUGUAUUGCAUUGCUCUCUUUAUCACAGACGAAAUAAACUAAUCUUUCAUUCCUAGGAGAAAAUAGAAAGCUUUGCGGAUUAUUAUUAUGUUUUCUCAUAAGAGAGGAAUUUAGGAUUUACAACCAAAAUUAGAACUUUCACAAAGCUUGA